RNAcentral lists this long non-coding RNA (342 nucleotides) under Helianthus annuus (common sunflower). RNAcentral's name for it is "sRNA HanXRQr2_Chr10g0464231". Lineage: Eukaryota; Viridiplantae; Streptophyta; Magnoliopsida; Asterales; Asteraceae. The record is from RNAcentral.
AUGAGCAACAUCAACAAAAACAAAUUACCAGUAGUUUACCAAAUCUACUUCAAAAGCAACAAAAUAGUUUUCUUACCACAUCCCACUUCAUCUCUCCAAUAAACAAACGGCUGCUGAUCUUCAGGGGGGCCUACAUCAGACUUCAGCUUCAGCUUGUGGCUGAAUGUUGUAGUACCAAAAGCUUCAGGAUCGACGACUACUUCAACAAACUGGUGUACCCAUGUAUCAGUUGCAACCGUAUACCUGUAAAUCAAAGCUCGCCGAAGAUCGGGUCGCAAAUGGACAUUUAGAAGGCGUCUCCUCGAUCUCUAACAAAACCAGGAAGCCUCCAUUGCAUUGAAC